GAUGAACGCUGACAGCAUGCUUAACACAUGCAAGUCCACUUGAAUUUGGGUUUUUUUGCUUAGAUUUGGGUGGCGGACGGGUGAGUAACGCGUAAAGAACUUGCCUCACAGCUAGGGACAACAUUUGGAAACGAAUGCUAAUACCUGAUAUUAUGAUUAUAAGGCAUCUUAGAAUUAUGAAAGCUAUAUGCGCUGUGAGAGAGCUUUGCGUUCCAUUAGCUAGUUGUGGGGGUAACGGCUCACCAAGGCGAGGAUGGGUAGCCGGCCUGGAAGGGUGAACGGCCACAAGGGGACGGAGACACGGCCCUUACGCCUACGGGAGGCAGCAGUGGGGAAUAUUGGACAAGGGACCAAGAGUCUGAUCCAGCAAUUCUGUGUGCACGAUGGCGUUUUUCGGAAUGUAAAGUGCUUUCAGUUGGGAAGAAAAAAAUGACGGUACCAACAGAAGAAGCGACGGCUAAAUACGUG
Molecule: ribosomal RNA, 468 nt
Filed under: uncultured bacterium
Lineage: Bacteria
Description: partial 16S ribosomal RNA
Rfam family: Bacterial small subunit ribosomal RNA
Source: RNAcentral